CCAGCAAGAACAGUAAUGUGC
This 21-nucleotide non-coding RNA is filed under the name Arabidopsis thaliana (thale cress). The record is from RNAcentral. Lineage: Eukaryota; Viridiplantae; Streptophyta; Magnoliopsida; Brassicales; Brassicaceae.